GAUGAACGCUGGCUGCGUGCCUAAUACAUGCAAGUCGAGCGAACAGACGAGGAGCUUGCUCCUUUGACGUUAGCGGCGGACGGGUGAGUAACACGUGGGUAACCUACCUAUAAGACUGGGAUAACUUCGGGAAACCGGAGCUAAUACCGGAUAAUAUUUCGAACCGCAUGGUUCGAUAGUGAAAGAUGGCUUUGCUAUCACUUAUAGAUGGACCUGCGCCGUAUUAGCUAGUUGGUAAGGUAACGGCUUACCAAGGCAACGAUACGUAGCCGACCUGAGAGGGUGAUCGGCCACACUGGAACUGAGACACGGUCCAGACUCCUACGGGAGGCAGCAGUAGGGAAUCUUCCGCAAUGGGCGAAAGCCUGACGGAGCAACGCCGCGUGAGUGAUGAAGGUCUUCGGAUCGUAAAACUCUGUUAUUAGGGAAGAACAAACGUGUAAGUAACUGUGCACGUCUUGACGGUACCUAAUCAGAAAGCCACGGCUAACUACGUGCCAGCAGCCGCGGUAAUACGUAGGUGGCAAGCGUUAUCCGGAAUUAUUGGGCGUAAAGCGCGCGUAGGCGGUUUUUUAAGUCUGAUGUGAAAGCCCACGGCUCAACCGUGGAGGGUCAUUGGAAACUGGAAAACUUGAGUGCAGAAGAGGAAAGUGGAAUUCCAUGUGUAGCGGUGAAAUGCGCAGAGAUAUGGAGGAACACCAGUGGCGAAGGCGACUUUCUGGUCUGUAACUGACGCUGAUGUGCGAAAGCGUGGGGAUCAAACAGGAUUAGAUACCCUGGUAGUCCACGCCGUAAACGAUGAGUGCUAAGUGUUAGGGGGUUUCCGCCCCUUAGUGCUGCAGCUAACGCAUUAAGCACUCCGCCUGGGGAGUACGACCGCAAGGUUGAAACUCAAAGGAAUUGACGGGGACCCGCACAAGCGGUGGAGCAUGUGGUUUAAUUCGAGGCAACGCGAAGAACCUUACCAAAUCUUGACAUCCUUUGACCCUUCUAGAGAUAGAAGUUUCCCCUUCGGGGGACAAAGUGACAGGUGGUGCAUGGUUGUCGUCAGCUCGUGUCGUGAGAUGUUGGGUUAAGUCCCGCAACGAGCGCAACCCUUAAGCUUAGUUGCCAUCAUUAAGUUGGGCACUCUAAGUUGACUGCCGGUGACAAACCGGAGGAAGGUGGGGAUGACGUCAAAUCAUCAUGCCCCUUAUGAUUUGGGCUACACACGUGCUACAAUGGACAAUACAAAGGGCAGCGAAACCGCGAGGUCAAGCAAAUCCCAUAAAGUUGUUCUCAGUUCGGAUUGUAGUCUGCAACUCGACUACAUGAAGCUGGAAUCGCUAGUAAACGUAGAUCAGCAUGCUACGGUGAAUACGUUCCCGGGUCU
Molecule: ribosomal RNA, 1372 nt
Filed under: uncultured bacterium
Lineage: Bacteria
Description: bacterial SSU rRNA
Rfam family: Bacterial small subunit ribosomal RNA
Source: RNAcentral